GGAAAGGGUGCUCUGGCCAGUCAGCCUGCCCCUGCGAAGGAGCUGCAUGCAGCCUGGCUUAGUGCUCAGAGCUUUCCCUUGCCUUGCUGGUGCUGCCGGGAGCCUCGGAGGACUGAGCUGUCCACUUGCUCCGGGUGCUGCAUGCGUCCAACCAUUUUGGGAUCUGUUGCUGUGAGUGGCAUCUAGUCCAAGCGCCAGAGAGAACGGAUGGAGCACGCAGCUGGGAAUAGGAUGCCAGGCGAGCACAGAGGAAGAAAUCAGGAGCCCCCCAGGACUGGAAGUACAGCCGCCAUUGGAUAAUGGGACGGGAUCACUCAGCAAAUCUGUGGAUUCUCCUUCUCCUCCCUCUGUAGGGGAAAUAUAGUUAUGGAUUUAUUGUCCCGGUGCAGCAGUUCCAGCAGCAGCAGCAGCAGCAGCCUCAUCAGAUUUCUGACUCUCUUCGGUGACGGGUAUUCUUGGGUGGAUAAUACGGAUUACGUUGUUAUUGCUUAAGAAUACGCGUAGUCGAGGAGAGUACCCGCGGCAGGCAGGCAGGCAGCGGCCGCCCCCAGCCCAGCAGCUGGCUCCUAAUCUACCAUAGUUGCCAAGGUAGCCCCUUUUUGAUCUUUUCCUGCACGGUGCUGUGUCUCUCUCUGUGUCUGUGAUUAGGAGAUCCGAGGGGUUGCUCAGGCCGCACCAGGGUGCAUGGCAGGGUAGAGACUGGCGAUGUCUAGUCGUGUGCAUCCUAGAUUAGAUCUCCUCCCCGCGCCCCCCGCCCCACGGCGUCUCUUUCCCAAAAUCGCGUGUGAGGGGCGGCAGAGCCAAGCCAGAUCUGUCCAGGGCAGUGCCGAGCCGGGGAGGGGGGAUUCUGACCUUUGUCCUGAUGUGUCCUCCCCCCCCUUGAUGCUGGGAAAGACUGAGCGGCCUUGCCCUAGCAGAGCGCCGGGCGGUGGCGCGGGGAGAGGCAGAGCGGAGAGAAAACCUGCCGCGGUGCAGCCCCGGGGGAGAAGGGGGCCCCGGGAGAUCUGCUUUGUUAUCUGUUGCGCGCGCCGCGUAGUUGCCAAGGGGUCUGGUGGGAGCUGCCGCGCGGCUCGCACGCGGCUGUCGGGCCGGUGCAGAGGGCGGGGGGCAGGUCGGUUCGACCCGCUCAGAUGGGCCCGAUCCCGCGUGUCGUGCGCAGGCAGGCAGGCUUCCCGCAGGCGUCCCUUCCCCGGGGAUGGGCCCGCGUUCAGUGGCAGGCGUGGGUGCGCAGCGGGGGCAGGGGUGUCUCAGCCCUGUGAACCCUCUGGCCCUGGUUCCCCCGGAGGAAGAGAGCGGGGCCCGGCGUAGGGACGGGCACAGAGCAGUUGUUUGCCCAAGAUCGGUUAUGCCUAGGUCCCUGGAUUCCCAGGAUGGGACGGGCACUAGCCACGUGCUAAGCAGGCGGCCGAGGCACUAUCCGGCCUGUGCACAUUCAGCUCCCGGGGCAGCCAGAGCCCGGGACAAGCCCGCAGCCCGCCCGCACUGCCAGGGAAGCCUCAGCAACUUUUAGUCUCCGCCUGAUCCUGGCAGUCGGGGUCGGGGGG
Molecule: non-coding RNA, 1544 nt
Organism: Pelodiscus sinensis (Chinese soft-shelled turtle)
Lineage: Eukaryota; Metazoa; Chordata; Testudines; Trionychidae
Source: RefSeq, a predicted model, not a curated record